UGCGUAGGUGGUCGUGUUAGUCGUCUGUCAAAACCCCGGGCUCAACCCGGGAUCCGCAGGCGAAACGGCACGACUAGAGAGCGUGAGAGGUGAAUGGAACUCAUGGUGUAGGGGUGAAAUCCGUUGAUAUCAUGGGGAACACCGAAAGCGAAGGCAAUUCACUGGCGCGUUUCUGACACUCAAGCACGAAAGCGUGGGUAGCAACG
Molecule: ribosomal RNA, 206 nt
Filed under: uncultured bacterium
Lineage: Bacteria
Description: partial 16S ribosomal RNA
Rfam family: Bacterial small subunit ribosomal RNA
Source: RNAcentral